GGGUUGUCCUGUUGACAAUGCCAACUAAUUUUGUCCUUAUAUCUAAAAAAUGGGUAGUACUGUACUAUAGAAAUAAUUUGGAUUUUCAUAUAAAAUUUUAUUUUUUUAGUUUAUCCUCUUCCUAAUAAAAAAUUAGCUUUUAUGCGAUAUGUCAAUUCCACAACCCAUAAUUUUGUAAAAGCAAAUUCCUAAAAUACCCUUCAAACUGUCAUUCUGUACGUGUAUUGUCUUCUGUUUCUGUAUCAAUCUCUAUUCAAUAUCUUUUUGAAAACCCCUCACCCCAUCAAAUAAGCAAAGAAAUCCCAAAAAAUAAGGACGUAAAUCAUGCUCAUAUUCAAGAGAUUUAAAGAAAGCUCAAUCUCACUCACUCAUUCCAAAGCUUCAUAAUCCAUAUCCAUCUUUCUUCACAAUAGUUGUAGUCCAUUCGCUUGUAAUUCGUUUUUGUUAUGUAGUAAUCUCGAUUUUCAAGAUGAAUGAAUCAGACAUGCUUAAAAACGAGAACUGGGAGGAGAAUUCCCAUGAGGAAAUCACACCUUCUGCAGUAGAUUAAAAGUUGUCAACAAACCGUGUUGAUUUGCGAAGUAUAAAAUGGAUUUCAAAGUUCUUGAAUUAUGAGCUAUUGCAAUAUAGUCUGGAAGUACUUAUGUGCCCCUCUAGCAAGAAAAUGACCAAAAUCUGAAGAAGAUGCAGACAUUAUAGGAUCAGUGGACCAAUUAUAGGAAUUACUACAACAAAUUGAAAAAGAGAAAGAACCCAAUGUGGAGAGACUUCUAAAGUUAAUAAUGUGACUUCACAAGUGGAGUAUAGUAGGCAUUGUUUGGAACAAAGGCAAAUGAAUAUAGAAGCUUUUGGUUGUUGAGCUAUAAAUGAAAAGAUUAACAUGGAGAAUGAUUCAGCGGCAUCUACACAACAAAUAUUAGCAUCUACACUACAAAUAUUACACCAUAAAUCUGAAGAGAUCAUUAAAGAGUUUUUGGAGUAUUCAAAUUCUACUAGGCACUUUGUUUCUCAGAUUGUGGAAGAAGCACAAGGCAUCACAAACAGAUCUUUUUAAUGCUCUACUUUUUGUUUGAUGAUUAUAUUAUGAUGCUGAUUUUGCAAAUUCUUUUUGGAUUAAUGUUAUUAAUGGGUAAGAAACUAUUAUAAAUUCAAUAAAUUGGUCAUUGGUAGGAGGAAGGGUAUAUUGGUCUAUUUGAAGUAGAGUGAAUUGAUGUGCAUGUGAUUGUAUCUGUUAGUUUGUGUGUAAUUGUGGGAUGGGUGUUUUGACUACUUACUAUAACAAACAAACUUUAUACCUUUGUAA
Molecule: long non-coding RNA, 1303 nt
Organism: Lactuca sativa (garden lettuce)
Lineage: Eukaryota; Viridiplantae; Streptophyta; Magnoliopsida; Asterales; Asteraceae
Source: RefSeq, a predicted model, not a curated record